RNAcentral lists this ribosomal RNA (484 nucleotides) under uncultured bacterium. RNAcentral's name for it is "partial 16S ribosomal RNA". It matches the Rfam family "Bacterial small subunit ribosomal RNA", at positions 30 to 507 of the family's 1533-position model. The record is from RNAcentral.
AUUGAACGCUGGCGGCAGGCCUAACACAUGCAAGUCGAGCGGAUGAAGGGAGCUUGCUCCUGGAGUCAGCGGCGGACGGGUGAGUAAUGCCUAGGAAUCUGCCUGGUAGUGGGGGAUAACGUCCGGAAACGGGCGCUAAUACCGCAUACGUCCUGAGGGAGAAAGUGGGGGAUCUUCGGACCUCACGCUAUCAGAUGAGCCUAGGUCGGAUUAGCUAGUUGGUGGGGUAAAGGCCUACCAAGGCGACGAUCCGUAACUGGUCUGAGAGGAUGAUCAGUCACACUGGAACUGAGACACGGUCCAGACUCCUACGGGAGGCAGCAGUGGGGAAUGUUGGACAAUGGGCGAAAGCCUGAUCCAGCCAUGCCGCGUGUGUGAAGAAGGUCUUCGGAUUGUAAAGCACUUUAAGUUGGGAGGAAGGGCAGUAAGUUAAUACCUUGCUGUUUUGACGUUACCAACAGAAUAAGCACCGGCUAACUUCGUG